This 29-nucleotide non-coding RNA is filed under the name Mus musculus (house mouse). The record is from RNAcentral. Lineage: Eukaryota; Metazoa; Chordata; Mammalia; Rodentia; Muridae.
UCUGUUUUACCUGGAGAUGUGCGCUCACU